Molecule: ribosomal RNA, 387 nt
Filed under: Triticum aestivum (bread wheat)
Lineage: Eukaryota; Viridiplantae; Streptophyta; Magnoliopsida; Poales; Poaceae
Description: partial small subunit ribosomal RNA
Source: RNAcentral
AUGUGUAUGGAGGCGCUACACUGGAUUGCUUACGAGAAGAUACAUGGCACGGGUUCUUUCAGCUGCAAGGUCGCGGAUACCGCAGCACAGGAACUCAAGAAGAAAAUGAGAAUAGGCGAAGGUGGAGCAUUUCCAGACGAUGUUCUCAAGGAAAUCAGCUCGAACAUGGGGCUCCCCACCAUCAAGAACAUCAUACGCCUAACUUCCAAAAAUUACGAGACGAUGUACACUGCAGACAAGAAGGAUGCUGCACAAGUUACUGUGGGGAUGCUCAAAGAAGGCCCGAUAGUUGAAGGGAUGGUCUAUGGUGCGGGAGUAAAUUGCAAAAAACCACCACAAUUGAGGACCUUAAUUCAGAAAACGACCACUAUUCAGUUUUUUUUUUAA